GUCCCGCGGUCCUCCGAGCCCGCGCGUCCUGGCCGUCCCGCCCGCCGUCCGCCGUCCGCCGUCCGCCCGGCCCUCGCCCCCUCCCGAGCUGUCCAGCGCAGCCGCCCUCUACCCCGGAUCCAGAAGUCCCCUCCCCGCUGGCUCCCGGACUCCCCGCCUUAAAGGCACAAGCUCCUUUUGUCUGGGCAUCCCCCUCCCCCUCCCCAGAAGUGGGGGCCGAGUUGCCCACUCCCCUUCCUAGCAGCGGGUUAUUUCCAGCACGGAGCAGCUGCCCAAGUUACCUGGGAGAUGGGAAAAUCGUGUGAAAGCUGGUUAACCCUUUGAGGAUUAGAGUAAUGGUGGAAGCAGAAAGGAGAAGGAGUUUCACUCCAGGAUGUACGUAGGACCAGCCCUCCCUGCAGUCCUGUCCUUCAAGACUCAAGUCUUGUCCACUCCAAAUCACCACUGGGAUUCCUAAGUCCAGGACAGAGCUUCAGGCAAGGAAAAGAAGAGUUGGGAAAGCCAGUUUCCAACAUUUAUCAGCCACGUGUACCUGCAAACUAUAUACCUUGGGUAAAUCAUCAAUCUCUUGAAAUGGGAAUAAAACCAUCUGCCUUGUCUUUCUUACAGGGUUUUCAGAAUCAGAUAGAGAAAUGUUUGUUAUAAUGUUUGAAAAUGGG
RNAcentral lists this long non-coding RNA (659 nucleotides) under Homo sapiens (human). Its description in RNAcentral is "HSALNT0188617". The record is from RNAcentral. Lineage: Eukaryota; Metazoa; Chordata; Mammalia; Primates; Hominidae.